AUGGCGGAGACGGAGGCGAGGCUAUGCACCCGGUACGGCGCGGCCGCCGCCAAGGCCACCCUGGCGUGCAACAUCCUCGCCCCCGUCGCCGGCCGGCUGAGCGGCCACCCGUCGGAGCUCCACCGCCGCUGCAUCCUGCUCCGCCGCCUCAGCAGCAGCCGGAACACCGGCACUACGGCCGACCUCGCUUCUCGGCCGCCCGUCGAGGCGGUCGCCGUCUCCGGCGCCCUCCGCACGGCCAUCGUCGUCUUCGAGACCGUCGCCGGGUGGCGGGCGGCGGCGGCGGCGACGCUGAGCGCGAGCUGCGACACCGUCCCUCCCCUCUACUUCGGCCCUCCUAUCGUCCUCGUCGACGGCCGAGACAUCAAGGUGCCGCUCCAUCCGAAGAAGCCUGCUGCUGCUUCGCCGGGAGGGAAGGACGUGGUGUCGUCGUUCGGAGACGAGAUACGGUGGCCGCCGGUGUUAGCCACGGCGUCGCCGGUGUCCAUCCCAUCGUUGUCGGGGUGGCCGAUCGAUAUGAAUGGUGGUCCUGGGCUCCCUCGCCUCGACGUCGGCGGCCGCAGCUGCAACAAAUACGACUUUGGGAACCUCUUUUAAACAAUUGGAU
This 607-nucleotide long non-coding RNA is filed under the name Oryza sativa Indica Group (long-grained rice). RNAcentral's name for it is "lncRNA OsZS97_07G023760". Lineage: Eukaryota; Viridiplantae; Streptophyta; Magnoliopsida; Poales; Poaceae. The record is from RNAcentral.